This is a long non-coding RNA of Zonotrichia leucophrys gambelii, 573 nucleotides long. RefSeq lists it as uncharacterized. The record is from RefSeq and is a predicted model, not a curated record. NCBI's taxonomy places the organism in Eukaryota, Metazoa, Chordata, Aves, Passeriformes, Passerellidae. The transcript has 4 exons.
CUCUUUUGUACAAUGGAAGAAUAAACAAUUCCCUGAGUAAGUGUGUGCUGCGAGUCCAUUACUUCACUUAAUUUCCUGGAGAAAAGAGGAAAGGAAAGCCCUCUGUGGUACAGCAGAUGAAGUUUGUCUGGAAGUCCCUGUCUCUGCAGAGUGGGACUGCAAUAUUUGAGAAGAAAAAAUUAAUCAUCAGGCCAUUAUGUUCAUCCUCCAUCAAGAAGAGAGAAAAUUUUUUCUUGAAACUCAAGGAAAAUUUUCUGCAAGGCUUGACUGCCCUUUCUCAUAAGAACAAACUGCAGUGAAGCAAUCCAAAGCCAACAAGAUUUAUGGCUGAAACAAUCUCCUGAUUUUAGACACCAGCUCUGUAAGCCAUCCAACCUUCCUCAGAAGCCACAAAGAAAGGGAAAGGGGGAACUGAGAUUUCAAAAGCUGUUACUCUUUGCUCUGUGAUUUCAAGACUUUAUUUCCUUUGAUGAAAUGAAGAAUUUCAGUCUUGUGAUUUCAGCGAGGAUUAAUUUGGCAAGGUUCCGCCAGAGGUCCUUGCAAGUUAAAACCACAGCAUUUGACAUAGCAUGG